UCAAUAAGCGGAGGAAAAGAAACCAACAGGGAUUGCCUCAGUAACGGCGAGUGAAGCGGCAACAGCUCAAAUUUGAAAUCUGGCGUCCGCCCGAGUUGUAAUUUGCAGAGGAUGCUUCGGGGCCGCGGCCGAUCUAAGUCCUUUGGAACAGGGCGUCAUAGAGGGUGAGAAUCCCGUAUGUGACCGGCUGGCACCCCACACGUAGCUCCUUCGACGAGUCGAGUUGUUUGGGAAUGCAGCUCUAAAUGGGAGGUAAAUUUCUUCUAAAGCUAAAUACCGGCCAGAGACCGAUAGCGCACAAGUAGAGUGAUCGAAAGAUGAAAAGCACUUUGGAAAGAGAGUCAAACAGCACGUGAAAUUGUUGAAAGGGAAGCGCAUGCAACCAGACUUGUCGGCGGUGUUCCCCCGGUCUUCUGACCGGGUCACUCGCCGCCGGCAGGCCAGCAUCGUUUGCGACCGCCGGAGAAAGGCGUAGGGAAUGUGGCUCCUCGGAGUGUUAUAGCCCUGCGCACAAUACGGUGCGUCGCGAGCGAGGUCCGCGCUUCGGCUAGGAUGCUGGCGUAAUGGUCGUAUGCGGCCCGUCUUGAAACACGGACCAAGGAGUCUACCAUCUAUGCGAGUGUUCGGGUGUCAAACCCCUACGCGCAAUGAAAGUGAACGGAGGUGGGAACGCAAGUGCACCAUCGACCGAUCCUGAUGUCUUCGGAUGGAUUUGAGUAAGAGCAUAGCUGGUGGGACCCGAAAGAUGGUGAUCUUUACUUGAAUAGGGUGAAGCCAGAGGAAACUCUGGUGGAGGCUCGCAGCGGUUCUGACGUGCAAAUCGAUCGUCAAAUUUGGGUAAAGGGGCGAAAGACUAAUCGAACCAU
This 866-nucleotide ribosomal RNA is filed under the name Microcyclospora tardicrescens. RNAcentral describes it as "eukaryotic LSU rRNA". It matches the Rfam family "Eukaryotic large subunit ribosomal RNA", at positions 43 to 943 of the family's 3401-position model. The record is from RNAcentral. Lineage: Eukaryota; Fungi; Ascomycota; Dothideomycetes; Capnodiales.